UUCCACAGCUACUGGCCUGCCGCUGUUCUUGUGGUGGCAGUUGUAACAUUCCUCUGUGGGAAAGGAAGUGUUACAUGAUUAAACAUCUUUCUUAGCAUAACAGAAAAUGAGCAUAUAUGUGUGACAAACACAA
This is a small nucleolar RNA of Artibeus jamaicensis (Jamaican fruit-eating bat), 133 nucleotides long. RefSeq annotates it as small nucleolar RNA SNORA41. The record is from RefSeq and is a predicted model, not a curated record. The transcript has a single exon. NCBI's taxonomy places the organism in Eukaryota, Metazoa, Chordata, Mammalia, Chiroptera, Phyllostomidae.